RNAcentral lists this non-coding RNA (30 nucleotides) under Mus musculus (house mouse). Lineage: Eukaryota; Metazoa; Chordata; Mammalia; Rodentia; Muridae. The record is from RNAcentral.
UGAUCACUGGACCCUUCUCUGUCUCCCUGU